This 1372-nucleotide ribosomal RNA is filed under the name uncultured bacterium. Its description in RNAcentral is "bacterial SSU rRNA". It matches the Rfam family "Bacterial small subunit ribosomal RNA", at positions 28 to 1381 of the family's 1533-position model. The record is from RNAcentral.
GAUGAACGCUGGCGGCGUGCCUAAUACAUGCAAGUCGAGCGAACGGACGAGAAGCUUGCUUCUCUGAUGUUAGCGGCGGACGGGUGAGUAACACGUGGAUAACCUACCUAUAAGACUGGGAUAACUUCGGGAAACCGGAGCUAAUACCGGAUAAUAUUUUGAACCGCAUGGUUCAAAAGUGAAAGACGGUCUUGCUGUCACUUAUAGAUGGAUCCGCGCUGCAUUAGCUAGUUGGUAAGGUAACGGCUUACCAAGGCAACGAUGCAUAGCCGACCUGAGAGGGUGAUCGGCCACACUGGAACUGAGACACGGUCCAGACUCCUACGGGAGGCAGCAGUAGGGAAUCUUCCGCAAUGGGCGAAAGCCUGACGGAGCAACGCCGCGUGAGUGAUGAAGGUCUUCGGAUCGUAAAACUCUGUUAUUAGGGAAGAACAUAUGUGUAAGUAACUGUGCACAUCUUGACGGUACCUAAUCAGAAAGCCACGGCUAACUACGUGCCAGCAGCCGCGGUAAUACGUAGGUGGCAAGCGUUAUCCGGAAUUAUUGGGCGUAAAGCGCGCGUAGGCGGUUUUUUAAGUCUGAUGUGAAAGCCCACGGCUCAACCGUGGAGGGUCAUUGGAAACUGGAAAACUUGAGUGCAGAAGAGGAAAGUGGAAUUCCAUGUGUAGCGGUGAAAUGCGCGGAGAUAUGGAGGAACACCAGUGGCGAAGGCGACUUUCUGGUCUGUAACUGACGCUGAUGUGCGAAAGCGUGGGGAUCAAACAGGAUUAGAUACCCUGGUAGUCCACGCCGUAAACGAUGAGUGCUAAGUGUUAGGGGGUUUCCGCCCCUUAGUGCUGCAGCUAACGCAUUAAGCACUCCGCCUGGGGAGUACGACCGCAAGGUUGAAACUCAAAGGAAUUGACGGGGAUCCGCACAAGCGGUGGAGCAUGUGGUUUAAUUCGAAGCAACGCGAAGAACCUUACCAAAUCUUGACAUCCUUUGACAACUCUAGAGAUAGAGCCUUCCCCUUCGGGGGACAAAGUGACAGGUGGUGCAUGGUUGUCGUCAGCUCGUGUCGUGAGAUGUUGGGUUAAGUCCCGCAACGAGCGCAACCCUUAAGCUUAGUUGCCAUCAUUAAGUUGGGCACUCUAAGUUGACUGCCGGUGACAAACCGGAGGAAGGUGGGGAUGACGUCAAAUCAUCAUGCCCCUUAUGAUUUGGGCUACACACGUGCUACAAUGGACAAUACAAAGGGCAGCGAAACCGCGAGGUCAAGCAAAUCCCAUAAAGUUGUUCUCAGUUCGGAUUGUAGUCUGCAACUCGACUACAUGAAGCUGGAAUCGCUAGUAAUCGUAGAUCAGCAUGCUACGGUGAAUACGUUCCCGGGCCU